Molecule: unclassified non-coding RNA, 211 nt
Filed under: rhizosphere metagenome
Description: partial ribosomal RNA internal transcribed spacer region
Source: RNAcentral
GUAGGUGAACCUGCGGAAGGACCAUUCAUAAUAAGUGUUUUAUGGCACUUUUUUAAAUCCAUAUCCACCUUUUGUGCAAUGUCAGGUUGGUCUCUUUUUUUUAAAAAAAAAAAAAAGAGGUCGGCCCAAGCAUCAACCGUAUCUUUUAACUCCUUUGUCUGAAAAAUAUUAAUUCAAAAUACAACUUUCAACAACGGACCUCUUGGCUCUC